UACAGCUGAUGCUUUGAGACUCUUACAAACGUGAUACCGAGCAAGACUUGACUUCUUCUCUUUGCUUAAUUCAAGUGCCAGACAACUUCUUCCCAGUCAAAAUGAACAUCCUGGCACGUCUCUCAAUUGUGGUCUUGCUUUCCAUGUGCGCCUUCAUAGCAGUAGAUGCCCAAAUACCGUUUCCAAUCGGGUUCGGGAGCGAGGAAAGAGGCUUUAAUCCAGCAUGUUUCCAGUGCUUGACAAGCAACGGCACGGACUCGGCCAGUUGUUUUUCAUGUGCCAUCAGUACAUUUUUCAGAAGAGGAGAUUAAGACUGACACUUAAUACACGGCUGCAAUUAGUAAUGUCUAUAUAUAAAAAAACUAAGAAUCCACUUGUAAAUACCUAUAUACUGUAAAAAUUCGACAAGAGAAAAUGUUUAAAUAAAUGAUCCUACAAGUAA
Molecule: long non-coding RNA, 442 nt
Organism: Biomphalaria glabrata
Lineage: Eukaryota; Metazoa; Mollusca; Gastropoda; Planorbidae
Exons: 2
Source: RefSeq, a predicted model, not a curated record